AGUUUGAUCCUGGCUCAGAUUGAACGCUGGCGGCAUGCCUAACACAUGCAAGUCGAACGGAAACGAUGCUAGCUUGCUAGCAGGCGUCGAGUGGCGGACGGGUGAGUAAUGUAUAGGGAUCUGCCUAGUAGUGGGGGACAACGUGUGGAAACGCACGCUAAUACCGCAUACGCUCUACGGAGGAAAGUGGGGGACCUUUCGGGGCCUCACGCUACUAGAUGAACCUAUAUUGGAUUAGCUUGUUGGUAAGGUAAUGGCUUACCAAGGCGACGAUCCAUAGCUGGUUUGAGAGAAUGAUCAGCCACACUGGGACUGAGACACGGCCCAGACUCCUACGGGAGGCAGCAGUGGGGAAUAUUGCACAAUGGACGAAAGUCUGAUGCAGCAAUGCCGCGUGUGUGAAGAAGGCCUUAGGGUUGUAAAGCACUUUCAGACGUGAGGAAAAGUAAUAAUUUAAUAAAUUGUUACCUUGACGUUAACGUCAGAAGAAGGACCGGCUAACUCCGUGCCAGCAGCCGCGGUAAUACGGAGGGUCCAAGCGUUAAUCGGAAUUACUGGGCGUAAAGCGCGCGUAGGCGGAUAUUUAAGUCAGAUGUGAAAUCCCUGGGCUCAACCUAGGAACUGCAUUUGAUACUGGAUAUCUAGAGUAUGGUAGAGGUGAGUGGAAUUUCAGGUGUAGCGGUGAAAUGCGUAGAGAUCUGAAGGAACAUCAGUGGCGAAGGCGACUCACUGGGCCAUUACUGACGCUGAGGUGCGAAAGCGUGGGUAGCAAACAGGAUUAGAUACCCUGGUAGUCCACGCCCUAAACGAUGAAUGUUAGCC
This 822-nucleotide ribosomal RNA is filed under the name uncultured bacterium. RNAcentral describes it as "bacterial SSU rRNA". It matches the Rfam family "Bacterial small subunit ribosomal RNA", at positions 10 to 821 of the family's 1533-position model. The record is from RNAcentral.